Molecule: ribosomal RNA, 253 nt
Filed under: uncultured bacterium
Lineage: Bacteria
Description: partial 16S ribosomal RNA
Rfam family: Bacterial small subunit ribosomal RNA
Source: RNAcentral
UACGGAGGAUCCAAGCGUUAUCCGGAUUUAUUGGGUUUAAAGGGCUCGUAGGCGGCCAACUAAGUCAGACGUGAAAUCCCUCGGCUUAACCGGGGAACUGCAUCUGAUACUGGAUGGCUUGAGAUUGGGAGAGGGAUGCGGAAUUCCAGGUGUAGCGGUGAAAUGCGUAGAUAUCUGGAGGAACACCGGUGGCGAAGGCGGCAUCCUGGACCAACACUGACGCUGAGGAGCGAAAGCCAGGGGAGCAAACGGG